RNAcentral lists this long non-coding RNA (824 nucleotides) under Homo sapiens (human). RNAcentral describes it as "HSALNT0372319". The record is from RNAcentral. Lineage: Eukaryota; Metazoa; Chordata; Mammalia; Primates; Hominidae.
CUUCAGGAGUGAAGCUGCAGACCUUCGCGUGAUGGAGGUUGAGAAGUCCAACUUCAAGGCACCACAUCUGGUGAGAGCCUUCAUUCCGAUGACAGCCUUCAUGCUGGUAAGAUUUUCUUCAGAGUUCCAAGGUGGUGCACGGCAUCACAUGGCGAAGGAAAUGAGCGUGCUAGCUCAGGUGUCUCUUCCUCUUCUUAUAAAGCCACCAGUCCCACUCCUGUGCUAGUAACUCUUUAAUCCAUCAACCCAUUAAUCCAUGAAUAGAUUAACCCAUGAGGCCUCUGCCCUCAGGACCCAAUCACCUCUUAAAGGCCUGACCUGUCAAUAUUGCCAUACUGGGGACUCAGUUUCAACAUGAGUUUUGAAAGGGACAAACAUUCAAUCCAUAGUAACAUGAGAGCUUUUCAAAGCCCUUCUUUGUUGAAGUAUGUCCUUCUCCAGCCUCUUUUUUCCCAGGCUUUUUGUUUUUUCUAUUGCUUGUGCAGCUGUUAUCCUUUGCUACAGGUGGCAAUAGCUAAUACAUUUGCCUUUAAAUUUGUUUGACAAACACCACCCUGGAAGUAGCCUCAACUCUGGGGAAGCUCCAAGACAGGUAAAAUACAGGUAAGCCCUUGAGCAGAUCCUUCAGGAAGCUACCAUAUGGGUCAAAACACAGAACCACAAUUCUUUAAUUCUUUGAGAAUAAGGUCUGUAUUGUUCCCUCUGUUACCAGCAACCUGCAGCAGGAAAAUGGGCUUCAGUUUUCAAGUCUGCAGCUGAGUUGGGAAGUUGCGGACAGUAACCAGAUGGCGUCUCACUCUGUCACCCAGGCUGGAGUGCAGUGG